This is a long non-coding RNA of Saccostrea cuccullata (small rock oyster), 499 nucleotides long. RefSeq lists it as uncharacterized. Lineage: Eukaryota; Metazoa; Mollusca; Bivalvia; Ostreida; Ostreidae. The transcript is spliced from 3 exons. The record is from RefSeq and is a predicted model, not a curated record.
UUCGGGGCGAGGAUAGAAGACUGAUUCCACCAGUUGUGUCUGUCUCCACCUUCACACACCACUGAAUUCCUUCGACAUUUUGAACAGUCUCCUGAGUAGCAGAGGAUGGUACUUUCUACGACAAGAGGAAGUUUACUACAGAUGAUGUUGAUGUCUCCAGUGGAAACAUCUCGGGGCUGAAGUGGGCACUGCGACACUGCCGGAACUGGGCUCUGCUGACAUGGAUUGGGUCGGCCAGUCGAGUGACUUGCCAGUCUGGAUGAAAAAUUCGCAUGGCAUCUUGGAAUCCCUGGGCUUACCGGGCAUCACCGUCUGAUGUGGCGUGCUUCACCUUGAACCCGUCCGCUGCCAGAUCUUCGCCUAUGGAUUUAGCCAUCUCGUACUCUGAAAGAGGGCUAGAGUGGCUGUGUUGACCUGGUUGCUGGCCCUUUGCAUGGAACUGCGGUUAGGAGGUGGAAUGUCCAAGGCAGCUACCAUUUCCCGACUGCGUCGAUUCCCC